RNAcentral lists this ribosomal RNA (253 nucleotides) under uncultured bacterium. Its description in RNAcentral is "partial 16S ribosomal RNA". It matches the Rfam family "Bacterial small subunit ribosomal RNA", at positions 524 to 776 of the family's 1533-position model. The record is from RNAcentral.
UACAGAGGCCUCGAGCGUUAGGCGGAAUCACUGGGCUUAAAGCGUGUGUAGGCGGAUCGUUAAGUGCCUUGUGAAAUCCCACGGCUUAACCGUGGAACUGCUUGGCAUACUGGCGGUCUUGAGCCACUUAGGGGCGACCGGAACAAGCGGUGGAGCGGUGAAAUGCGUAGAUAUCGCUUGGAACGCCGAAGGUGAAAACAGGCUGCUGGGGUCGCGCCGACGCUGAGACACGAAAGCCAGGGGAGCAAACGGG